RNAcentral lists this ribosomal RNA (975 nucleotides) under Shigella sonnei. Its description in RNAcentral is "partial 23S ribosomal RNA". It matches the Rfam family "Bacterial large subunit ribosomal RNA", at positions 474 to 1448 of the family's 2925-position model. Lineage: Bacteria; Pseudomonadati; Pseudomonadota; Gammaproteobacteria; Enterobacterales; Enterobacteriaceae. The record is from RNAcentral.
UCCUGACUGACCGAUAGUGAACCAGUACCGUGAGGGAAAGGCGAAAAGAACCCCGGCGAGGGGAGUGAAAAAGAACCUGAAACCGUGUACGUACAAGCAGUGGGAGCACGCUUAGGCGUGUGACUGCGUACCUUUUGUAUAAUGGGUCAGCGACUUAUAUUCUGUAGCAAGGUUAACCGAAUAGGGGAGCCGAAGGGAAACCGAGUCUUAACUGGGCGUUAAGUUGCAGGGUAUAGACCCGAAACCCGGUGAUCUAGCCAUGGGCAGGUUGAAGGUUGGGUAACACUAACUGGAGGACCGAACCGACUAAUGUUGAAAAAUUAGCGGAUGACUUGUGGCUGGGGGUGAAAGGCCAAUCAAACCGGGAGAUAGCUGGUUCUCCCCGAAAGCUAUUUAGGUAGCGCCUCGUGAAUUCAUCUCCGGGGGUAGAGCACUGUUUCGGCAAGGGGGUCAUCCCGACUUACCAACCCGAUGCAAACUGCGAAUACCGGAGAAUGUUAUCACGGGAGACACACGGCGGGUGCUAACGUCCGUCGUGAAGAGGGAAACAACCCAGACCGCCAGCUAAGGUCCCAAAGUCAUGGUUAAGUGGGAAACGAUGUGGGAAGGCCCAGACAGCCAGGAUGUUGGCUUAGAAGCAGCCAUCAUUUAAAGAAAGCGUAAUAGCUCACUGGUCGAGUCGGCCUGCGCGGAAGAUGUAACGGGGCUAAACCAUGCACCGAAGCUGCGGCAGCGACGCUUAUGCGUUGUUGGGUAGGGGAGCGUUCUGUAAGCCUGCGAAGGUGUGCUGUGAGGCAUGCUGGAGGUAUCAGAAGUGCGAAUGCUGACAUAAGUAACGAUAAAGCGGGUGAAAAGCCCGCUCGCCGGAAGACCAAGGGUUCCUGUCCAACGUUAAUCGGGGCAGGGUGAGUCGACCCCUAAGGCGAGGCCGAAAGGCGUAGUCGAUGGGAAACAGGUUAAUAUUCCUGUACUUGG